GUGCUCACUUCAGCAGCAUAUAUCCUAAAAUUGGAAUAAUACAGAGAAGAUUAGCAUGGCCCAUGCACAAGGAUGACUUGCAAAAUAAGGGAGGAUAGAGAAGUGUGA
This is a small nuclear RNA of Nannospalax galili (Upper Galilee mountains blind mole rat), 108 nucleotides long. NCBI's taxonomy places the organism in Eukaryota, Metazoa, Chordata, Mammalia, Rodentia, Spalacidae. The record is from Ensembl.